GAGGAGGAAGAGAUGCAGGAGGAGAUGGUGCUGCUGGUGAAGGGUGAGGAGGAUGAGGGUGAGGAGAAGUAUGAGGUGGUGAAACUCAAGAUCCCCAUGGACAACAAGGAGAACCCACAGGAUUCUGCCUGAGCAGCUCUGAGUCCCACUGAAGGGUGGCUCCAGCUGGCCCAGCUUUCAGGCUCCCGAGGACUUCUUCCUGCACGGGGGCCAGUUCCCUGGGAAAGAAAGUUCUGCUGCCCCCUAGUGGGCAUGGUGGGUCCUUGGGGCAGGGGACUUUGCUCCUUAGGCUUCCCCUUCCUUAGGCUUCCCCUUCCAGGUUCUAUUUCUCUCUGGGCUUCUUGGUCCAUCAUCCCAGCUCAGCCUGCCUGUUCUGGUCCUGUGGAUCCCCUGAUCUCUGCCUUUAGCUUAUAAAUUAAGAACACAGACUCCAGAGCUUAGCGUGGACUUCAAACGCUACUACCUACCAGCUAUGUGAACUUGAACAAGUUUCUUAACCUCUUUAUGCCUCUGUUUCCUCAUUUGUAAAAGGGAAGUUACAGCAGCACCUGCUUCUGGAAUUGUGAGGGUUGAAUGAGUUAACACGUCUGGCACAUAAUAAACAUUAUGUAAACAGUG
Carlito syrichta (Philippine tarsier) is the source of this 618-nucleotide long non-coding RNA. RefSeq lists it as uncharacterized. The record is from RefSeq and is a predicted model, not a curated record. The transcript has 2 exons. NCBI's taxonomy places the organism in Eukaryota, Metazoa, Chordata, Mammalia, Primates, Tarsiidae.